GUCGGUCCAGUGGUUAGAGCUUCCGCCUCAGAUGCGGAAGGUCGUGGGUUCCCCUGAUGAGUCAUACCAAAGACU
Molecule: non-coding RNA, 75 nt
Organism: Potamilus streckersoni
Lineage: Eukaryota; Metazoa; Mollusca; Bivalvia; Unionida; Unionidae
Source: the annotation of a GenBank genome assembly